AUGUCUGUUGAAAGAAAAGGGAGAUAACAUUCCCUUGAUAAGGAUGGAAUUACGGUGAUCAAGCCUUGACCAUAUUUUU
Small nuclear RNA from Galleria mellonella (greater wax moth), 79 nucleotides. The record is from RefSeq and is a predicted model, not a curated record. NCBI's taxonomy places the organism in Eukaryota, Metazoa, Arthropoda, Insecta, Lepidoptera, Pyralidae.